UCAAGAUAGUAACACAUGUGCC
RNAcentral lists this non-coding RNA (22 nucleotides) under Arabidopsis thaliana (thale cress). The record is from RNAcentral. Lineage: Eukaryota; Viridiplantae; Streptophyta; Magnoliopsida; Brassicales; Brassicaceae.